This 1803-nucleotide ribosomal RNA is filed under the name Triticum aestivum (bread wheat). RNAcentral's name for it is "partial small subunit ribosomal RNA". Lineage: Eukaryota; Viridiplantae; Streptophyta; Magnoliopsida; Poales; Poaceae. The record is from RNAcentral.
AUGCCCCCCCCCAUCCUGACGAGCACGUGGUCCAGUGUCCGAUCCGGCCUGCCGCCAUCCAUGGCCGCCUCCCUCUUCCGCCUCUCCCGGCCCCGCCGCGUGCUCCUCCCCUUGUCCGCCCUCCGCCUCCCUCUCUCCACCCAGCCCCUCCCGCAGCCCCGGGACCCGUCCUCCCCCAAUUCCAACCGCGGCCUUCCUGCUUUCCUCUCCUUCCUCGCCGCCGCAGCCGCAGGCGGAAUCACCAGUUCCGUCGCUCUCUGCGAUGCCGGCCCCGACCACCGGGUCGGCGGGAAAGACAGCACCGAGCUGGUGGUGCGUGGGGAGCGCAAGUGCGUGCCACAGCAGUUCAUAGAAGAGCUCGCAUCCUUCCUCGGGGAGAACCUGACGGUGGAUUACGAGGAGAGGAGCUUCCACGGGACGCCGCAGAAUAGCUUCCACAAGGCAGUCAACGUGCCCGACGUCGUCGUCUUCCCAAAGUCCCAGUAUGAGGUACGGAAUAUUGUGAUGACUUGUAAUAAGUACAAGGUGCCGAUUGUACCAUAUGGUGGGGCUACAUCAAUUGAGGGACAUACGUUGGCACCUCAUGGUGGUGUUUGCAUUGACAUGUCUUCAAUGAAGAAAAUCAAAUCUCUGCAUGUUGAGGAUAUGGAUGUUGUAGUUGAACCAGGAGUUGGAUGGAUUGAGCUGAAUGAAUACCUGAAACCCCAUGGUCUCUUUUUCCCUCUUGACCCAGUCCUGGGUUCGACGCAGCCUCUCUGCAUUGCUCUGUGCAGGGGUAAGGCUUGCCUCGUAUCCUUCCCCAGAGCCCCACCUGGACCUGGAGCCACUAUUGGUGGAAUGUGCGCUACACGAUGUUCUGGUUCAUUAGCCGUGAGGUAUGGAACUAUGCGGGACAAUGUUAUCAAUCUUCAGGCUGUUCUACCAGAUGGUGACGUUGUCAAGACCGGUUCUCGGGCUCGAAAGAGUGCAGCUGGAUAUGACCUAACUCGGUUGAUCAUUGGAAGUGAAGGGACUUUAGGGGUAAUUACAGAAGUGACUUUACGACUUCAAAAGCUUCCAUCUCAUUCCGUGGUUGCUAUGUGCAAUUUUCAAACAGUUAAGGAUGCUGCUGAUGUUGCUAUUGCAACAAUGCAUUCUGGCAUACAGGUCUCGAGAGUGGAAUUGUUAGAUGAGGUUCAGAUAAGGGCAAUAAACAUGGCAAACGGUAAAAGCUUGCCUGAAGUGCCGACCUUGAUGUUUGAAUUCAUAGGGACAGAAGCAUAUGCACUUGAACAAACACUGUUGGUUCAAAAGAUUGCUGCAGAGCACCAUGGUUCUGAUUUUGUUUUUGUGGAGGAGCCAAAUGCUAAAGAGGAACUGUGGAAGAUCAGGAAGGAGGCACUUUGGGCUGGUUUUGCCAUGAAACCUGAUCAUGAAGCUAUGAUAACGGACGUUUGUGUUCCAUUGUCUAGACUUGCAGAAUGCAUAUCUGUAUCUAAGCAACUACUUGAUGCGUCACCAUUGACUUGUUUGGUUAUCGCCCAUGCCGGUGACGGAAAUUUCCACACAAUUAUCCUAUUUGAUCCAACCCAGGAGGAAGAGCGAAGGGAAGCAGAGAGACUAAACCAUUUCAUGGUUCAUACUGCUCUGUCCAUGGAAGGUACAUGCACAGGAGAGCAUGGUGUUGGCACAGGGAAAAUGAAGUACCUGGAGAAGGAGCUGGGGAUGGAGUCACUGAGGACGAUGAAAAGGAUAAAGGCCGCGCUGGAUCCCAACAACAUCAUGAAUCCAGGAAAGCUCAUCCCACCCCACGUCUGCAUCUGA